RNAcentral lists this ribosomal RNA (465 nucleotides) under uncultured bacterium. RNAcentral's name for it is "partial 16S ribosomal RNA". It matches the Rfam family "Bacterial small subunit ribosomal RNA", at positions 28 to 507 of the family's 1533-position model. The record is from RNAcentral.
GACGAACGCUGGCGGCGUGCUUAACACAUGCCAGUCGAACGGAAAGGCCCUGCUUGCAGGGUACUCGAGUGGCGAACGGGUGAGUAACACGUGGGUGAUCUGCCCUGCACUUCGGGAUAAGCUUGGGAAACUGGGUCUAAUACCGGAUAGGAACCAUCUUUAGUGUGGUGGUUGGAAAGUUUUUUCGGUGUAGGAUGAGCUCGCGGCCUAUCAGCUUGUUGGUGGGGUAAUGGCCUACCAAGGCGGCGACGGGUAGCCGGCCUGAGAGGGUGUACGGCCACAUUGGGACUGAGAUACGGCCCAGACUCCUACGGGAGGCAGCAGUGGGGAAUAUUGCACAAUGGGCGCAAGCCUGAUGCAGCGACGCCGCGGGGGGGAUGAAGGCCUUCGGGUUGUAAACUCCUUUCGCUAGGGACGAAGCUUUUUGUGACGGUACCUAGAUAAGAAGCACCGGCUAACUACGUG